Molecule: ribosomal RNA, 440 nt
Filed under: uncultured Ascidiimonas sp.
Lineage: Bacteria; Pseudomonadati; Bacteroidota; Flavobacteriia; Flavobacteriales; Flavobacteriaceae
Description: bacterial SSU rRNA
Rfam family: Bacterial small subunit ribosomal RNA
Source: RNAcentral
UCCUACGGGAGGCAGCAGUGAGGAAUAUUGGACAAUGGGCGAGAGCCUGAUCCAGCCAUGCCGCGUGCAGGAAGACGGCCCUAGGGGUUGUAAACUGCUUUUCUACGGGAAGAAUAAGGGGUACUGGUACUUUGAUGACGGUACCGUAGGAAUAAGCAUCGGCUAACUCCGUGCCAGCAGCCGCGGUAAUACGGAGGAUGCAAGCGUUAUCCGGAAUCAUUGGGUUUAAAGGGUCCGUAGGCGGUUUAUUAAGUCAGUGGUGAAAGUUUCCGGCUCAACCGGGGAAUUGCCAUUGAUACUGAUGGACUUGAAUAGCUAUGAAGUAAUUAGAAUGUGUAGUGUAGCGGUGAAAUGCAUAGAUAUUACACAGAAUACCGAUUGCGAAGGCAGAUUACUAGUAGUUAAUUGACGCUGAGGGACGAAAGCGUGGGUAGCGAACA